RNAcentral lists this ribosomal RNA (478 nucleotides) under uncultured anaerobic ammonium-oxidizing bacterium. RNAcentral describes it as "bacterial SSU rRNA". It matches the Rfam family "Bacterial small subunit ribosomal RNA", at positions 364 to 832 of the family's 1533-position model. The record is from RNAcentral.
UUUCGCAAUGCCCGAAAGGGUGACGAAGCGACGCCGCGUGCGGGAGGAAGGCCUUCGGGUUGUAAACCGCUGUCGGGAGUUAAGAAAUGCAAGAAUGUUAAUAGCGUUCUUGCUUGACUAAGGCUCCGGAGGAAGCCACGGCUAACUCUGUGCCAGCAGCCGCGGUAAUACAGAGGCGGCAAGCGUUGUUCGGAAUUAUUGGGCGUAAAGAGCACGUAGGCGGCUGUGUAAGUCGGUUGUGAAAGCCUUCCGCUCAACGGAAGAACGGCAUCCGAUACUGCAUAGCUUGAGUGUGGGAGGGGAGAGUGGAACUUCUGGUGGAGCGGUGAAAUGCGUAGAUAUCAGAAGGAACACCGGCGGCGAAGGCGACUCUCUGGUCCAUAACUGACGCUGAGUGUGCGAAAGCUAGGGGAGCAAACGGGAUUAGAUACCCCGGUAGUCCUAGCCGUAAACGAUGGGCACUAAGUAGAGGGGUUUU